Molecule: non-coding RNA, 487 nt
Organism: Plectropomus leopardus (leopard coralgrouper)
Lineage: Eukaryota; Metazoa; Chordata; Actinopteri; Perciformes; Serranidae
Source: RefSeq, a predicted model, not a curated record
GUCUCUGUGUCUGUCUCUGUGUCUGUCUCUCCGUGUCUCUCUGUCUGUCUCUGUCUCUCUGCAGGUUUAUCCUCCUGGCCUGUGACGGUUUGUUCAAAGUGUUUUCUGCUGAUGAAGCUGUAAAAUUCGUCCUCGGCGUCCUGCAGGAGGGGAGCGUGGAGCCGCGGCCGGGGCUGACGGAGGAGGAGGUGAAGUUUGAAGCUGCUUGUCAGCAGUUGGCCAGCGAGGCGGUGAGGCGAGGCUGCGCCGACAACGUCACUGUGAUCCUGCUCUCUGUCAGCUUCUGAACACACACACACACACACACACACACACUCACACACACACACACACACACACACACAGCUGGCCUCCUCGUUGGUUUUCCAAUAAAAACAGUUUUUUCUUUAUCUCGGCUGUAGGACUGACUUAAUCUGCGUUUGUGUCUUUGCUCAACUGUUGGUAUCUUCCAAACUCAUUAGAAUAUAAAAUAUACUUUAAAUAAAGA